UUGAUCCUACGGGAGGCAGCAGUGAGGAAUAUUGGUCAAUGGGCGAGAGCCUGAACCAGCCAAGUCGCGUGAGGGAGUACUGCCCUAUGGGUUGUAAACCUCUUUUGUCGGGGAGCAAAAGCCGGACGUGUCCGGCUGUGAGAGUACCCGAAGAAAAAGCAUCGGCUAACUCCGUGCCAGCAGCCGCGGUAAUACGGAGGAUGCGAGCGUUAUCCGGAUUUAUUGGGUUUAAAGGGUGCGUAGGCGGACUGGAAAGUCAGCGGUAAAAUCGAGAGGCUCAACCUCUUUCCGCCGUUGAAACUGUC
Molecule: ribosomal RNA, 305 nt
Filed under: uncultured bacterium
Lineage: Bacteria
Description: bacterial SSU rRNA
Rfam family: Bacterial small subunit ribosomal RNA
Source: RNAcentral